CAGUCGCCGCGGGAAUACGAAGGGUGCAAGCGUUAAUCGGAAUUACUGGGCGUAAAGCGGGCGUAGGUGGUGGUUUAAGUCCGUUGUGAAAGCCCUGGGCUCAACCUGGGAAUUGCAGUGGAUACUGGGUCACUAGAGUGUGGUAGAGGAUAGUGGAAUUUCCGGUGUAGCAGUGAAAUGCGUAGAGAUCGGAAGGAACAUCUGUGGCGAAGGCGACUAUCUGGGCCAACACUGACACCGAGGCACGAAAGCGUGGGGAGCAAACAGGAUUAGAUACCCCAGUAGUCCCUGUCUCUUAUAC
RNAcentral lists this ribosomal RNA (301 nucleotides) under uncultured bacterium. RNAcentral describes it as "partial 16S ribosomal RNA". It matches the Rfam family "Bacterial small subunit ribosomal RNA", at positions 509 to 807 of the family's 1533-position model. The record is from RNAcentral.